This 517-nucleotide long non-coding RNA is filed under the name Rattus norvegicus (Norway rat). RNAcentral describes it as "long non-coding RNA NONRATT008316". Lineage: Eukaryota; Metazoa; Chordata; Mammalia; Rodentia; Muridae. The record is from RNAcentral.
UGGAAUUCUUCCCUCUUUUGAAAUGUUUAUGGGUCAGCCCUCAAACUAAAUACAGGGCAAGUUGAGACAUGCUGGGAACAUCAACACACGUCCUAUUUUUAGGGGAGGAACUGAGGCCUCUCAGUUGCAUUUCUGCCAAGGUCAGCCUGGCUGCAUGGGAAUACCUUGAGAGCUGACAUCUGGUGUGGCUGUUGGCCAUGAUGGCUGUCCCAGCCUCCCAAAGUCUGGGCUUGACUUAUUCUUGUGUUUGCUUCCCAGAGGAAGAUGGAAAGCCAUUUGAUGCUUCUCUAACAAUCCUCAUCUCCUUGGUAUCGACAUCGAUAAACAAUGAAAUCACAGGAUCCAGAUUAAGUGAAUCUUUCUUCCCAGCAUGUGGUACAACACAGUUUGGAAAUAAAAACAAAUCAAAUGCUUGGGAAGCAAAAUGAAUGCAAAUUAAGGUCUGGUGAAAGCUGUCAGCGCCCAAGCACUUGCCUUGUUUUUGUCUCCCCUUUAAAUGAAAUGAACAUUGUUUUCU